AUUAAAUGACAUGAAAUAUGUAUUUUUAGCAUUUAAUCAUCGGUUUUGGUGUCAUUUGUAGGAUUUUAAGUGUAUGACUUCGCGGUAGAUUAAUCUCGCUAUCAGGUGUGUGAAAAUAAUAUUAAAAUUUGAUAGAAACUUGUUAAAUCGUGAAAUAGAGGCUAUUUUUCGAAACUGCCUAGUGCCACACGGCCCUGGGUCAGGCCGUGUGGUAGAUUGUGUGCGUCACACGACCAUGUACUUUUAUUUUUUUAAAUUAAAUCCUUAUUAUUUUUCUCUUUCGAUAACUGUCAAACAAACUUCUUUUUGGUGGUACGUUUCUUUCCUUUCCUUCAAUUUUGUUUUAAAUUUUUUUAUUUCUUUUCUUCUUUCUUUCCUUCUUUUUCACCUUGCCAACGCCGAAUCCUUUUGUUAUUGUGCCAAUUGUAAAAUCUUUCUUUUGUUGCGUAAGAACACUGUUGAGGCUUGUUAUGAUUCUAUUGUUUGCUUCAUUCUUUCUUUUCCUCGUGGUGGCUUGGUUGUGUUGGUAAGUUGUGUGGAAGAUUAGUUUUUUAUAAAGUUGGGGUUUUGUUGUUUUAAGUAGAAAAUUCCAUAUAUUAAUGAUUUUAUGAUAGAUAUAGUGUUUUGGCUAGUUGUUGUGGAUAUGAGAAGAGCGCGUGGUGAUAGACAACCUUCCGACAAAUUAAGGUUUUGGAGUAGUUGCUGCAAGUUUGUGGUAACUAAUAGUUGAUGAAUAUAGGGACUAUUUAUUUGGGAAAAGUGCGAAUGUAAGUGGUAAUGUUCGUGUUAAAUCAGAGUUGUAAUCAUUAGUUUUGGUGUCGUUUGUAAGAUUUUAAGUGUACGACUACGUGGUGGAUUAAUCUCGCUAUCAGGUGUGUGAAAACAAUCCUAAAACUCUGUAGAAACUCAUUAAAUCGUGAAACAUGGUCUGUUUUUCAAAACCGCCUAGUGCCACACGGUCGUGUGUCAGGCCGUGUUGUAGAUUGUGUGCACCACACGACCGUCUAAUUUUAUUUUUAAAAAUCAAAUACCUGUUAUUUUUCUCUUUCAGCAACCGUUAAACCAACUUCUCUUUGGUUGCACAUUUCUUUCCCUUCUUUCAAUUUUGUUUUACAUUUUUUUCUUUCUUUUCUUCUUUCUUUCCUUCUUUAAACCUUGCCAACACCGACUCCUUCUUUUGUUAUUGUGCCAAUUGCAAAAUCUUUCUUUUGUUGUGUGAGAACACUGUUGAGGCUUGUUAUGAUUCUAUUGUUCACUUGUUUCUUUCUUUUCCUCGUGGUGGCUUGGUUGUGUUGGUAAGUUGUUGGAAGAUUAGUUCUUUAUAAGGUUGGAGUUUUGUUGUUUUAAGCAAAAAAAUACGUAGAUUAAUGAUUUUAUGAUAGAUAUAGUGUUGUGGCUGGUUUUUGUGGAUAAGAGAAGAGCGCAUGGUGAUAGACAACUCUCCGACAAUUUAAGGUUUUGGAGUAGUUGCUGCAAGUUUGUGGUAACUACUUGUUUAUGAAUAUAAGGACUAUUUCUUUGAGAAAAGAGCGAAUUUAAAUGGUAAUGUUCAUGUUAAAUCGAAGUUUUAAUCGUUGGCUUUGGUGUUGUUUGUAGGAUUUUACGUGUAAAACUACGUGCUGGAUUAAUGUCGCUAUCAGGUGUGUGAAAACGAUCCUAAAACUCGAUAGAAACUUAUUAAAUCGUGAAACAGGGGCUAUUUUUUGAAACUGCCCAGUGCCACACGGCUGUGUGUCAGGCCGUAUGGUAGAUUGUGUGUGUGACACGUCCGUGUAAUUUUAUUUUUUUAAAUCAAAUCCCUGUUAUUUUUCUCUUUCGGCAACCAUCAAACCAACUUCUCUUUGGUUGCACGUUUCUUUCCCUUCUUCCAAUUUUGUUUUACAUUUUUUUCUUUCUUUUCUUCUUUCUUUCCUUCUUAUACGCCUUGCCAACGCUGACUCCUUCUUUUGUUAUUGUGCCAAUUGUAAAAUCUUUCUUUUGUUGCGUAAGAACACUGUUGAGGCUUCUUAUUAUUCUAUUGUUCGCUUGUUUCUUUCUUUUCCUCGUGGUGGCUUUGUUGUGUUGGUAAGUUGUGUGAAAGAUAAGUUCUUAAUAAGGUUGGGGUUUUGUUGUUUUAACAAAAAAAAUCCGUAGAUUAAUGAUUUUAUGAUUUAUAUAGUGUUGUGGCUGGUUGUUGUGGAUAGGAGAAGAGCGCGUGGUGGUGGACAACCUUCCGACAAAUUAAGGUUUUGGAGUAGUUGCUGCAAGUUUGUGGUAACUACUUGUUUAUGAAUAUAGUGACUGUUUCUUUGAGAAAAGAGUAAAUUUAAGUGGUAAUGUUCGUGUUAAAUCGAAGUUGUAAUUAUUGGUUUUGGUGCCGUUUGUAGGAUUUUAAGUGUAUGACUACGAGGUGGAUUAAUGUCGCUAUCAGGUGUGUGAAAACGAUUCUAAAACCCUAUAGAAACUCGUUAAAUCGUGAAACAGGGGCUAUUUUUCGAAACUACCUAGUGCCAUACAGCCGUAUGGUAGGCCGUGUGCCAGAUCGUGUGGGGUACACGGCCGUGUGAAACUCCGCAGACCAUUUGGGCAGACCGUGUGGACCACACGGGCUAGGAUUUUGGGCCGUAUAGGCCUUUU
RNAcentral lists this long non-coding RNA (2616 nucleotides) under Gossypium raimondii (Peruvian cotton). Its description in RNAcentral is "long non-coding RNA (GRAI_LNC008545)". The record is from RNAcentral. Lineage: Eukaryota; Viridiplantae; Streptophyta; Magnoliopsida; Malvales; Malvaceae.